Meleagris gallopavo (turkey) is the source of this 1167-nucleotide non-coding RNA. The record is from RefSeq and is a predicted model, not a curated record. NCBI's taxonomy places the organism in Eukaryota, Metazoa, Chordata, Aves, Galliformes, Phasianidae.
GCUCUUUCUUUUGUUUUACUGCCAUUGCUCUGAUAACAACUGUCUGCAUAACAGGAAGGGCUGGUGGGGGAGGUUGGAUUACAAGUGUGACAAGUGCCACUGAUGAUGUUACAGCCAUAGAAUCAUACAAUCAUAAUAACAUGAAUUGAAAGAACCCCAAACGUCAUCUAGUCCAACUCCCUCACAAUGAACCGACAUCUAUAGCUAGAUCAGGUUGCUCAGAACAGUCCCACUCCUGCAACUUACAUCUUUAACAGCAGGUGACAGCUGAAAUCAACAUUAUUCAGAGCAGAAUAAGGAUUCCACUGACACUUCAUUCCCAUCCAAGUGAGUAAAGAAAGUCACACUUUACUGGCAUCCAGGACACCCAAACCUUGCACAAGGAAACAACCAGAGCUGCUUGCAUCAUGCUUCCUGGUAGCCAAUACAAGAUACUUUUAUUAAGGAAGGACUGGAAGGUUCUCACCAGCCCUAUAUGAACUUGAUCAGCACUCUUCAAAGCAGCGCGUCUCUCAGCUGAAGGAAAUCCCUGCUCUACUAAUGGCACGUCUGAUGCCGCUUUCACUCUUCUCACCAUGAAAUCAGGACUUGUAUGGCUACUGCGGGAAACUUGGACACACGCAACAUGAGCUGUGGUCACAUCAUGACUGGAAAGGAAAAAGAUGGGCAACACAGCCAUGCUUGCUUCCUCCUCACAGUUCUGUCCACUUAAUAUACAGACCUAUAAAUUCUUCAGUUUGUACUGCUGCCUCCUGUUUUUCUUUAAUACAAUCAUGAGAAGCCCCUUUGGCACGCAUGCAAGCACUAGGUUGAUGGAGUGUCACUGUUGCUCAGGUUGGGAAUGGCCGUAAUACCCCAGGGAAAUGAGAAAUUGAGGCAAUAUGCCAGUUCAACUGGCUUUCAGACGUAGAUGGCUUGGUCACAUUCAAGAAUUAGCAACAGAUUUCUUCACCCCAUCCUGCCUAUACCCCCCAGCUGGAUCUGGCUUUGCUGAUAAGCAAGUCUUGAUAUUGAAUGGAAUCAGGGUGCAACAGCCUUCUGAAGCACAUUGACAAGGGGAUAUUACCACUGCAACAAGACCAGGGGCUGUUAGCUGCCAACCGGAUUUCCAUGCUAAGAAUGAAAUGAGGAAGUAAUGUAUUGUUUCCAAUAAGUUGCAAAUCAGCA